UACGGAGGAUGCGAGCGUUAUCCGGAUUUAUUGGGUUUAAAGGGUGCGUAGGCGGGCUGUUAAGUCAGUGGUCAAAUGUCGGGGCUCAACCCCGGCCUGCCGUUGAAACUGGCGGCCUCGAGUGGGCGAGAAGUAUGCGGAAUGCGUGGUGUAGCGGUGAAAUGCAUAGAUAUCACGCAGAACUCCGAUUGCGAAGGCAGCAUACCGGCGCCCGACUGACGCUGAGGCACGAAAGCGUGGGUAUCGAACAGG
RNAcentral lists this ribosomal RNA (252 nucleotides) under uncultured bacterium. RNAcentral's name for it is "partial 16S ribosomal RNA". It matches the Rfam family "Bacterial small subunit ribosomal RNA", at positions 524 to 776 of the family's 1533-position model. The record is from RNAcentral.